RNAcentral lists this transfer RNA (71 nucleotides) under Candidatus Hodgkinia cicadicola Dsem. RNAcentral describes it as "tRNA-Gly (TCC) (tRNA-Gly-TCC-1-1)". It matches the Rfam family "tRNA". From Rfam's summary of the family: Transfer RNA (tRNA) molecules are approximately 80 nucleotides in length. Their secondary structure includes four short double-helical elements and three loops (D, anti-codon, and T loops). The record is from RNAcentral. Lineage: Bacteria; Pseudomonadati; Pseudomonadota; Alphaproteobacteria; Hyphomicrobiales.
GCGAAAGUAGUUUAGUGGCAGAACGACAGCCUUCCAAGCUGUGGACGUGGAUUCGACUUCCAUCUUUCGCU